GAUGAAGAACGUAGCGAAAUGCGAUAAGUAGUGUGAAUUGCAGAAUUCAGUGAAUCAUCGAAUCUUUGAACGCACAUUGCGCCCCUUGGUAUCCCGAGGGGCAUGCCUGUUCGAGCGUCAUUUCACCACUCAAGCCUGGCUUGGUGUUGGGCGACGUCCCCUUUGGGGACGCGCCUCGAAACGCUCGGCGGCGUGGCACCGGCUUUAAGCGUAGCAGAAUCUUUCGCUUUGGAAGUCGGGGCCCCGUCUGCCGGAAGACCUACUCGCAAGGUUGACCUCGGAUCAGGCAGGGAUACCCGCUGAACUUAAGCAUAUCAAUAAGAGGAGGA
RNAcentral lists this unclassified non-coding RNA (329 nucleotides) under soil metagenome. Its description in RNAcentral is "partial contains 5.8S ribosomal RNA, internal transcribed spacer 2, and large subunit ribosomal RNA". The stretch from base 1 to 120 matches the Rfam family "5.8S ribosomal RNA", at positions 35 to 154 of the family's 154-position model. The record is from RNAcentral.